AACGAACGCUGGCGGCAUGCCUAACACAUGCAAGUCGAACGAACCCUUCGGGGUUAGUGGCGCACGGGUGCGUAACGCGUGGGAAUCUGCCCUUUGCUUCGGAAUAACUCAGGGAAACUUGUGCUAAUACCGGAUGAUGUCUUCGGACCAAAGAUUUAUCGGCAAGGGAUGAGCCCGAGUAGGAUUAGGUAGUUGGUGGGGUAAAGGCCUACCAAUCCGACGAUCCUUAGCUGGUCUGAGAGGAUGAGCAGCGACACUGGUACUGAGACACGGCCCAGACUCCUACGGGAGGCAGCAGUGGGGAAUAUUGGACAAUGGGCGCAAGGAUGAUCCAGCAAUGACGCGUGAGUGAUGAAGGCCCUCGGGUCGUAAAGCUCUUUUAUCAGGGAUGAUAAUGACAGUACCUGGAGAAUAAGCUCCGGCUAACUCCGUG
Molecule: ribosomal RNA, 433 nt
Filed under: uncultured bacterium
Lineage: Bacteria
Description: partial 16S ribosomal RNA
Rfam family: Bacterial small subunit ribosomal RNA
Source: RNAcentral